AGGAUUAACGCUGGCGGCGUGCCUAACACAUGCAAGUCGAACGAGGUAGCAAUACCUAGUGGCAGACGGGUGAGUAACGCGUGGUCAACCUACCGUUGAGUGGGGGAUAACUAGCCGAAAGGUUAGCUAAUACCGCAUACGAGUCUCGGGGGCAUCCCUGGGCCUUAAAAAGGAGCAAUCCGCUCGAUGACGGGACCGCGUCCCAUUAGCUAGAUGGUGGGGUAAUGGCCUACCAUGGCUCCGAUGGGUAGCUGGUUUGAGAGAGCGACCAGCCACACUGGGACUGAGAAACGGCCCAGACUCCUACGGGAGGCAGCAGUGAGGAAUUUUCCGCAAUGGGCGAAAAGCCUGACGGAGCGACGCCGCGUGUGGGAAAGAAGGCCUUCGGGUCGUAAACCACUGUCGAAGGGGACGAUAAUGACGGUACCCUUGGAGGAACGCCCGGCUAACUACGCGCCAGCAGCCGC
RNAcentral lists this ribosomal RNA (467 nucleotides) under uncultured bacterium. Its description in RNAcentral is "SSU rRNA". It matches the Rfam family "Bacterial small subunit ribosomal RNA", at positions 26 to 518 of the family's 1533-position model. The record is from RNAcentral.